GACGAACGCUGGCGGCGUGCCUAAUACAUGCAAGUAGAACGCACAGUUUAUACCUUAGCUUGCUACACCAUAGACUGUGAGUUGCGAACGGGUGAUUAACGCGUAGGUAACCUGCCUGGUAGCUGGGGAUAACUAUUGGAUACGAUAUCUAAUACCGCAUAAUAUUAAUUAUUGCAUGAUAAUUAAUUGAAAGGUGCAAUUGCACCACUACCAGAUUGACCUGCGUUGUAUUAGCUAGUAGGUGAGGUAACGGCUCACCUAGGCGACGAUACAUAGCCGACCGGAGAGAGCGGUCGGCCACACUGGGACGGAGACACGGCCCAGAGGCCUACGGGAGGCAGCAGUAGGGAAUCUGCGGCAAUGGACGAAAGUCUGACCGAGCAACGCCGCGUGAGUGAAGAAGGUUUCCGGAUCGUAAAGCUCUGUUGUAAGAGAAGAACGGGUGUGAGAGUGGAAAGUUCACACUGUGACGGUAUCUUACCAGAAAGGGACGGCUAACUACGUG
This 505-nucleotide ribosomal RNA is filed under the name uncultured bacterium. Its description in RNAcentral is "partial 16S ribosomal RNA". It matches the Rfam family "Bacterial small subunit ribosomal RNA", at positions 28 to 507 of the family's 1533-position model. The record is from RNAcentral.